Molecule: unclassified non-coding RNA, 483 nt
Filed under: Hevea brasiliensis (rubber tree)
Lineage: Eukaryota; Viridiplantae; Streptophyta; Magnoliopsida; Malpighiales; Euphorbiaceae
Source: RNAcentral
GGGCAGAUGCAGAACACUUCUGAUUUAGCCAACUCUCGAUUGGCAUGAUGGAAGCAUUGAGCAACAAGUAUCCAACAUAUCAGCUGGCUGGCUGGACUAACCUUUCAUUUUGGUCAGCACCAUGAGAUUUCUGACUCUUUUUUCAGUUGAAACUGUCAUUCCAUGCCAAACACUAUUUUCAGCUGGCCAGACUUUUUCUUCACUUACCGUCAAUCACUGUUCAAUGAGGUGUCUCCCCAUUUUAGGGUCUGAUUCACAGUUGGAAACUACUUUGCAUUAGUUUGAGAUACAUCUGCCAAACAAUAAUCACCCAUUUCCUCAAAUUAUUGUCCUUGUAGUCAACUGAAUCAGCAACUCCGGACUUUCCAGCACUGCGAAGUGAAAAUGAGCCAUCUAUGCUGGAAAAAGAUGAUUCUGAACAGCAAGACUAGCCUUUCCGAUUCUAAUUGCUGAUGGCGUUACUGAAUCUUAUUGCUGAUAAAC